Molecule: non-coding RNA, 102 nt
Organism: Callithrix jacchus (white-tufted-ear marmoset)
Lineage: Eukaryota; Metazoa; Chordata; Mammalia; Primates; Cebidae
Source: Rfam
GGCUCGUCCGAGUGCAGUCGUGUUUAGAACUAAUUGAUGACAACCAGUUACAGAGUUUUUUGCUUUUUCUCCAUUCCCAUUGUUUCAUUUGACUAGUUAAAA